AGUAUGACUAUUGGGUCAUAUGGUGAGCAUGUGUUUUGUUUCAAAGAAACUGCCAAACUGUUUUCCAAAGUGACUACACUAUUUUGCAUCCCCACCAACAAA
Molecule: microRNA precursor, 102 nt
Filed under: Marmota monax (woodchuck)
Lineage: Eukaryota; Metazoa; Chordata; Mammalia; Rodentia; Sciuridae
Source: RNAcentral